This 1065-nucleotide long non-coding RNA is filed under the name Cricetulus griseus (Chinese hamster). Its description in RNAcentral is "lncRNA (ENSCGRG00015042197.1)". The record is from RNAcentral. Lineage: Eukaryota; Metazoa; Chordata; Mammalia; Rodentia; Cricetidae.
UUUCCUUCUGUUAGCUUUGAUUGCUCUUAAUAUGAUAUCCAAAGAGAACCAAAACUUUUUGGGUGAAGACAGUUUUAUACCUUACUCCCUUUGUAGCUUGCAACUUCAUAGAUGCUCAGAAGACUAAAGAAAGCACCGCCCAACUGCCCCAGGAGUUGGUGGCACAUGCCUUUAAUCCCAGCACUCGGGAGACUGAGGCAGGUGGAUCUCUGUACGUUCGAGACCAGCCUGGUCUACAGAGCAAGUUCCAGGACAGCCUCCAAAUAAUACAGAGAAACCCUGUCUUGAAAAACCAAAAAGAAAGAAAGAAAGAAAGAAAGAAAGCAAGAAAGAAAGAAAGAAAGAAAGAAAGAAAGAAAGAAAGAAGGGAAGAAAGAAAGAAACCUGUAUUUUUUCACCAUUGUUUUUCACUAUUAGCUCAGUAGUCACUUUCCAGUUUCUUUGAAUACUUUGGUAUCAUUUCUCAUUACAGAUCCAAUGCUGAAUCCAUGGAUUCCACAGGAAUUAGAGAUGCAAAACAGUUUUUAAAAUGACAUCUGUAUUAAACAUGUAAAGACGUUCCUCAGCAUUGACUCCCAAAAAGCAGCUAUUUAGGGAAUAUUUGCAUUGCAUUCUGUAUUAUUAGUGAUUUAGAAAUAUUGUGCAUAUGUUUUUCUCAAAAUAUUAUGUUAUUUUACAUAGAGGCUUGAGGCUUUCCAAUUUUAGCUUGUGUAGGGAACCCAAAGAAUUAUCCCCCAAGGAUACUAAAGGGUGAUUGUGCUACACUUUGUAUCCUGAAGAAAUACAAUAAGAUAUCUGUGAUUUCGAGACCAGCCUGGUCUACAAGAGCUAGUUCCAGGACAGGCUCCAAAGCCACAGAGAAACCCUGUCUUGGAAAAUCAGAAAAAAAAAGAACUACGAUAAAAUAAUUAUGUCUUUUCUAUCAUAGCUAUGAAAUAAUAUAAAUAUAAGCAGUGUGAGUGGUAUUUAUUUCUAAAGAUGAUGAAAUAGCUCUUUUGGAAUAAUAAAUUCUGUGACAUCAUGAAUGGACUUACUAUUUUUGGUGAGAAAUUUUCCUUAACAAAU